This is a non-coding RNA of Lasiosphaeria hispida, 120 nucleotides long. The record is from the annotation of a GenBank genome assembly. Lineage: Eukaryota; Fungi; Ascomycota; Sordariomycetes; Sordariales; Lasiosphaeriaceae.
GUCCCUGUGGUGUAGUGGUAGUGUGCUUUGCUCUUGUAUAGGCAACUUGUGUAUGUCCCAUGUAGUAAGUUGUCUUAUAUAGUGUCAGAGAAGUCGGGGGUUUAAUUCCUCCUGGGGGCA